UGAACGCUGGCGGCGUGCCUAAUACAUGCAAGUCGAGCGAACAGACGAGGAGCUUGCUCCUCUGACGUUAGCGGCGGACGGGUGAGUAACACGUGAAUAACCUACCUAUAAGACUGGGAUAACUUCGGGAAACCGGAGCUAAUACCGGAUAAUAUAUUGAACCGCAUGGUUCAAUAGUGAAAGACGGUUUUGCUGUCACUUAUAGAUGGAUCCGCGCCGCAUUAGCUAGUUGGUAAGGUAACGGCUUACCAAGGCAACGAUGCGUAGCCGACCUGAGAGGGUGAUCGGCCACACUGGAACUGAGACACGGUCCAGACUCCUACGGGAGGCAGCAGUAGGGAAUCUUCCGCAAUGGGCGAAAGCCUGACGGAGCAACGCCGCGUGAGUGAUGAAGGUCUUCGGAUCGUAAAACUCUGUUAUUAGGGAAGAACAAAUGUGUAAGUAACUAUGCACGUCUUGACGGUACCUAAUCAGAAAGCCACGGCUAACUACGUG
This 495-nucleotide ribosomal RNA is filed under the name uncultured bacterium. RNAcentral's name for it is "partial 16S ribosomal RNA". It matches the Rfam family "Bacterial small subunit ribosomal RNA", at positions 30 to 507 of the family's 1533-position model. The record is from RNAcentral.